This 250-nucleotide ribosomal RNA is filed under the name uncultured archaeon. RNAcentral's name for it is "partial 16S ribosomal RNA". It matches the Rfam family "Archaeal small subunit ribosomal RNA", at positions 616 to 865 of the family's 1478-position model. The record is from RNAcentral.
AAGUCCAGGGGUAAGGGCUAAAUCUUGUAAUCCUUGGGGGACCACCAGUGGCGAAGGCGUCUAACUAGAACGGAUCCGACGGUAAGGGACGAAACCCUGGGGCGCAAACGGGAUUAGAUACCCCGGUAGUCCAGGGCUUAAACGCUGCAGAUUUGGUGUCGGGGGUCCUACGAGGGCACCCGGUGCCGGAGAGAAGUUGUUAAAUCUGCCGCUUGGGGAGUACGGUCGCAAGACUGAAACUUAAAGGAAU